UCGUACAACCGAGGUGCAAAGGCUGUCGCUGACCCUCAAAGGUCGUGCACGCCCGAGCGCUCUCACACAAUCCAUCUCACCUUUGUGCAUCACCGCGUGGGUCCUCCCCUUUGCGGGGGAGGGCUUGCGUCUUCACAUAAAACUCGAUACAGUGUAGAAUGUUUCUUUUUUUGCGGUCACACGCAAUCAAUA
This 192-nucleotide unclassified non-coding RNA is filed under the name uncultured Russula. RNAcentral's name for it is "sequence contains ITS1". The record is from RNAcentral. Lineage: Eukaryota; Fungi; Basidiomycota; Agaricomycetes; Russulales; Russulaceae.